RNAcentral lists this ribosomal RNA (615 nucleotides) under Triticum aestivum (bread wheat). Its description in RNAcentral is "partial small subunit ribosomal RNA". Lineage: Eukaryota; Viridiplantae; Streptophyta; Magnoliopsida; Poales; Poaceae. The record is from RNAcentral.
AUGCGGCGGGGCGGCGGCGCUGCGACGGCCGUUGCGGCUGCGGCGGAGGCGGAGGGGGACGCGGGGGCGCGGUUCCGCGGCGUGCGGAAGCGGCCGUGGGGCCGGUACGCGGCGGAGAUCCGCGACCCGGCCAAGAAGGCGCGGGUAUGGCUCGGCACCUUCGACUCCGCCGAGGACGCCGCCCGCGCGUACGACGCCGCCGCGCGCAUGCUGCGCGGGCCCAAGGCCAAGACCAACUUCCCCCUCUCCCUUCCCCAUCACCACCAACUGCCGCCCAGCUACUCGCCCUACCCUGCCGCCGCUGUCCCGACGUCGGUCGCCGCGGCGGCGGCCAGGCCAGCCUGCAGCAGCCUGAGCUCCACCGUCGAGUCCUUCGGCGGGCCGCGGGCGCGGCCGGUGCUCCCGCCGCGGCCUCCGCCGCCGCCGAUCCUCGACGGCGACUGCCAUAGCGACUGCGGGUCCUCGGCCUCGGUGGUGGACGACGAUUGCGCGGACGCCGCCGCCUCGCCGUCCUGCGGUGCCCUGCUCCCGUUCGACCUCAACCUGCCCCCGGAGUUUGGCGGCGUUGCAUGUAACGACGACGACGAGCUGAAGCUGACGGCGCUGCGACUCUGA